Molecule: ribosomal RNA, 468 nt
Filed under: uncultured bacterium
Lineage: Bacteria
Description: partial 16S ribosomal RNA
Rfam family: Bacterial small subunit ribosomal RNA
Source: RNAcentral
GACGAACGCUGGCGGCGUGCUUAACACAUGCAAGUCGAACGGAAAGGCCCUGCUUUUGUUGGGCGCUCGAGUGGCGAACGGGUGAGUAACACGUGUGUAACCUGCCCUUGACUGUGUGAUAACUUCAGGAAACUGGGGCGCAUACCCGGUAUGAUCUCCUGCUGCAUGUGGGUGGUUGGUGAGAUUCGGCUGUUGUGGAUGGACUCGCGGCUUAUCCGCUUGUUGGGCGGGUAGUGGCUUACCAAGGCUUUGACGGCUAGCCGGCCUGGGAGGGUGACCGGCGACAUUGGGACUGAGAGAGGGCCCAGACUCGUACGGGAGGCAGCAGUGGGGAAUAUUGCAGAAUGGGCGGACGCGUGAUGCAGAAGCGCCGCGUGCGGGAUGACGGCCUUCGGGUUGUAAACCGAUGUCGAAGGUGCCGAAGCGUGAGUGACGGUAAUGGGUAAAGAAGCACCGGCUAACUACGUG